Dermacentor albipictus is the source of this 4027-nucleotide RNA transcript. It is a transcript of the gene named trafficking protein particle complex subunit 11 gry, with no coding region annotated. The record is from RefSeq and is a predicted model, not a curated record. NCBI's taxonomy places the organism in Eukaryota, Metazoa, Arthropoda, Arachnida, Ixodida, Ixodidae.
UUGAAUGUGGUUUCGUGACGGGAUGGGUGUGCGUUUUCGCGGAUGAGCCGGAGUGUGGGGUCCCUUCGAGAUGAAGACCAGGUGACGAGUUAUAGCCACCGUAUGACGAGUUUAGAGUCAGCCUUUGGGACUGUUCCGGACUUGUGAUUUACGCGACAGGUGUGAAGGCGUGCCUGCAGAGCCUGUAGCAUCUGGCGACGGUGUUCGCCCGUUGCCGUUGUGGUGUCACGCGUUUGUUGUGCGCGGUCGUGCAUUAACGAGGUGUGCUGCCGGAGCUGCCGGCUCUUGGCGUACCGAAAGCGCUGCAAGUUAGCGCCUUACCGAUGCGGCCCAGUAGUUAGUGAAACUUUUGUAGUUGAAGACGUCGUCCAUCGCCUGUAACCACGGCCGCUGCAGCAGCGACAAAAUCGAACCAUGAAGCCCCUGGAUAUCGGCGAGGUACCCGUAGAGCUCAAAACUCGCCCCAAAGCAUUCGUCGCCUUCAUCGGUUUAGAACCGCAGGCCAACAACAUCCAUGCCGCGAUUUGGGAUGCCUUUUCUAACAACCGCGGACCAGACCGGUCGCCGCUGAACUUCGUGAUGCUGCCUGACAAACAUGUAUUUCCGAAACCCAAACCCAAGCACCCAUCGUACGAGUGGUACGAGGAGAGGGGUCUGCUCAAGAGCAACUGGCUGCACAAGCAUCUUGCCCAAGUCCCUGCAGUGGCCAUCCUCUUCUUCGACAUGGACUGGGACGACCCCAGCUGGGCUGACAAGCGCAAUGACUGCUCAACCAAGAUACGCAGCCUCAGAGCUAGCCUACAGGGCAGAAACACCAAGGUGGCCUUGGUCCUGGUGCAGAACAACCUCUCCAUACCCGUUGGAGACAAUGUGCUGGCCACGGAGCGGGCACACGCCCUGUGCAAUGCCUGUGAGCUCCCGCCAAAGGCCCUGUUUGUUCUGCCCUACUCGGACCACCUGUUUGGCUUUAUCCUGAGGCUGGAGACAGCCUUUUUGGAGAUUACCCAGGGCUACUACCUCAACGAGUGCAAGCGGGUCAAGGCUCACAAGGACUUUGCCAACAAGAACACACACCAGCAACUCCUGAUUCGUCACCAGUUCAAGAUUGCAUUCCUGCACGAACUGAAACAGGACCCAGGUGUUGCUAUUCGCCACUACAAACAAGCUUAUGUUGACUUGCUGGAGCUGAAAACCACAGAUGCCAACAUUCUUGAGGUCAAAACCGUCGCAGGCAUUCUUAACUACAAGUUGUGCCAGCUGGCAUUCAUGCAAAACAUUCCGCUGGAUGCUAUCCACCAGUUUCGACGGCAUGUGGACAUCUUCAAGGACCGCAUCGGCAACCCCCGACUUGCCUUCGAGCACAGUGCCUGGCUGUCCAAGCAGUUCAGCCACUUUGGUGACCUGUUUGAGGAAGCGGUGAGCUUCGGCCUGACUGCAAUCCAGACGCAGCACCCGGGCUUCUACUACCAGCAGGCGGCCAAUCACGCCAUGGCACGCAAGGAGCAAGCGGCCCGGCUGUGCAAGGAUGUGACAUCUCCUCCAGACAUCAACAUGCUUGAAGGUGAAGAAUCCCUCGAGUUCUACGGUCAGAGGCCCUGGCAGGCCAAAGUACAGGGAAGGAGUGAAGCACUUGAUCCACAGACGGAGGACUUUGGAAUCCAAGCACUCCAGUUCAGGGAAAAGAAAGAAGUGGACCACUCGGGUCUGGUGGUGCCCCUGUUGAGCAGUGCAGUGGCUCAGUUCAAGAAGUACCGCUGCCCCCGCAUGAAGAGGCACCUCAUGGUGCAGAUAGCCGAGGAGUACUACUCCAGUUCGGACUACGACAAGGCUCUCAGCAUCCUGACACACGUGCUCUGGGACUACCGUGCUGAGCGCUGGCGACCCUUGGUUUCCAACAUCCUGACCACUGCCCUCAAGUGUGCCUACCUCUCGGCCAGCGUGCCGACCUUCCUCAUGCUGGGCCUGGAGUUCACCUCCAGUUGGAUCCUAGGGACGCAGGAGGAGAAGAGCUCCAUCCAGACCAGUGUCUUCAAUGUCAUUGAGGGUAACCAGCCAGUGGCGUUCCCUGGCAUGUCACCGUCCAGCAUCGCUAUUGCUGACGCCGCCUGGAAGGAGGCACUGUCGGACCAGCCAGGGCAGCCAUUGCAGAAUUUGGACAUGGACCACAUCAUCCAGUCAGUUGAAUGCAAGGUCCAGUUCGGACACAGCGCAUUCUAUGCCGACCAGCGUGUCUGCCUCAAGGUCUUCAUCAGGUCCAACUGUCCUCUUCCAAUCAAGGCCAGUGGGCUGAAGGUGCACUUCAACAACCAGCACUACAACAACUUCUGCAUCGUCGAGGAUGGUGACCCAGCUGCAGCCAUUGGCAGCCUACACUUGGUGCCACGGAGGACGCAGUCCUUCUCCUUUGCAUUCCUGCCUCGGUCAUGUGACAUCAACAGCGACAUCCAGGUGAGCUCGGUGCACCUGCGGCUGGGUUCUCCUUCUUCGUCCGAAUCGUCCACCGGUCUGACGCUAGCCUGGAACUGGGAGGGCACUUCGAGCAGCUCUGGUGGUAGCAGUGCAAGGCCGGGCCUGGCGUGGGACCCAAUCCCUCGCAAGCCCUUUGGCCACGGCGAGGAGGUGGCCUUCCACCAGCUGCCACAGAUGGCUGCCGCCAGGAUUCACCCAAGGCGCCCCCAGGUGUCGCUGGUGUUGGACCACAAGCCACCUGUGCUGCUGCAUGAGUUCUACCAACUGGCGAUCACGAUCGUGAGCGAGGAGAUUGCACCACUCACUGAUGUCUGCCUCAGCAUUGGACUGGUUGAAGACCUGGACCCCAAGUACUACACCACCACCCACUUCACGUGUGAGCCAACACCCGUUGUACCCAAGCAGCCAGCCAGCAAGAUUCGAGGUUUUCACAUUGACAACAUUCCUGCAGGAGGUCGGAAAAAGCAGACUGUCCUGCUGAGGAACUCGGAAGUUGGCACACGGAGGGUUUUUGUCAAGGUCGAGUACAAGACCGAGGUGGAGGUGGACAGUCGUGUGCUGUGCUGCAGUUGCUGCCGCGAGAUCUUCCUCGACCUGGAGUGCAUCGAGCCAUUGAGCUUCUCUGCCAGGCUGCUCAACCUCAAGUUUGAGCCCGUGGAGGUGGUGCGAGCGGAGGAGCAAUUUGUGGUGCAGGUGGACAUGGAGUCAUGCUGCCCACUGCCCCUGGAGCUCAUCUCAGGUGCAGUCAAGCUGAGUCCUCAUGUGAACACGGUGGACAAGGAGUUCCAGUCGCUCAUUGAAGGAGUGAAGCUGAACAGUGGUGAAGUGGUGCGGGACCUGUUGUGCCUGGUGGCUCCCAACCCUGUAGAUGCACUCAGUUGCCUCGGACAGUACACCCUGCAGUGGAAGAGGGAAGGCGCUCCUGCAAUGGCAACCCACACGGUGUCGCUCCCAGCAGUGCCAGUGCAAGCAUGCCCACUCCUGCUGGAGCUGGUGGCGCCUGCGCAUGGCCGGGUGCGCACCCCACUGACCGUCAGCUACUUGCUGCAUAACCGCACCCUGCUCGUGCAGGAUGUCGAGCUGGUUAUGGACUCCAGCGAUGCCUUCAUGUACUCCGGCAACAAACUGCUGCAUUUCCGCAUCCUCCCACGAGAGUGCCAGACGCUGACCUACAACCUGUACCCCCUGCUGCCGGGAUACGUGCCUCUGCCCCGGAUGCACCUGGUGCUGGGGCCAGGCACCGCAGCUGCCUCCACCCUCGACGGCCUCCUCAACGAGAUGCUGCCCUCACACAUCUUCAUCAUGGCAUCAUCAUGGCGCCAUGCUCAUGGGUGACCUUGGCAAGCAAGUGCCUUAGCGAAGUGGGAUGAUACCACUGUAUGUCUCACACAGCCAAGGCAAUCCCCAGGCCAAGACCUUAACACCCUGCGAAGCAAUGGGUAUGAGCUAGUAAAGACUGGAAGAUACAUUAUAGCUUAAUUCCAGAAGCUUUGUACAUAAUAUAAUGCUGGAAAAAACACAAUGAAAGUUUCUUAGGGAAAUAAAUUGCUUUUGAAAG